UACGCAGGGGGCUAGCGUUGCUCGGAAUCACUGGGCAUAAAGCGCACGUAGGCGGAUUGUUAAGUCAGGGGUGAAAUCCUGGAGCUCAACUCCAGAACUGCCUUUGAUACUGGCGAUCUCGAGUCCGGGAGAGGUGAGUGGAACUGCGAGUGUAGAGGUGAAAUUCGUAGAUAUUCGCAAGAACACCAGUGGCGAAGGCGGCUCACUGGCCCGGUACUGACGCUGAGGUGCGAAAGCGUGGGGAGCAAACAGG
This 253-nucleotide ribosomal RNA is filed under the name uncultured bacterium. RNAcentral describes it as "partial 16S ribosomal RNA". It matches the Rfam family "Bacterial small subunit ribosomal RNA", at positions 524 to 776 of the family's 1533-position model. The record is from RNAcentral.